RNAcentral lists this ribosomal RNA (497 nucleotides) under uncultured bacterium. RNAcentral's name for it is "partial 16S ribosomal RNA". It matches the Rfam family "Bacterial small subunit ribosomal RNA", at positions 28 to 507 of the family's 1533-position model. The record is from RNAcentral.
GAUGAACGCUGGCGGCGUGCCUAAUACAUGCAAGUCGAGCGAACGGACGAGAAGCUGGCGUCUCUGAUGUUAUCGGCGGACGGGUGAGUAACACGUGGAUAACCUACCUAUAAGACUGGGAUAACUUCGGGAAACCGGAGCUAAGACCGGAUAAUAUUUUGAACCGCAUGGUGCAAAAGUUAAAGACGGUCUUGCUUUCACUUAUAGAUGGAUCCGCGCUGCAUUAGCUAGUUGGUAAGGUAACGGCUUACCAAGGCAACGAUGCAUAGCCGACCCGAGAGGGUGAUCGCACACACUGGAACUGAGACACGGUCCAGACUCCUACGGGAGGAAGCAGUAGGGAAUCUUACGCAAUGGGCGAAAGCCUGACGGAGGAACGCCGCGUGAGUGAUGAAGGUCUUCGGAUCGUAAAACUCUGUUAUUCGGGAAGAACAUAUGUGUAAGUAACUGUGCACAUCUUGACGGUACCUAAUCAGAAAGCCACGGCUAACUCCGUG